CUCCAACAACAUGUUUCUGUCAUCUUCUCAAAUAUGCUACAUGAUAGAAUAAUACACCUGUCUGUGAUGACAGGAAUGAUCUUCAAUGCAGACACAUCUGUUUGCACUGUUAAUUCAGGACACAAUUGUCCCAGCAGAACUGCAGGCUGCCUUAUGACCACAGCUGCUUUCUGGUAAUAGCAUCUACUAUCUGAGUUGAAGAACACGUUUCAUGUCUCCUAAGUGAACAGAAGUGAUGAAGUUUGGAGAAACCCCUCCUCUUCCUGUGUGUAUGUUUAUAAGUUUUUUCUAAAUAUGACAUCUUGUAAUUAAUAAAGCUUUCUAUCCUGCAGCCUCUCAGUGGGAUUGACAAGACCAGUUGAUACUUUUCUUGCAUCCGUUUCUCUGUUCAUCUCUUUUCUUUCUCCCUAAAAUUGGCAUCCUAUCUCAACUAUGAAUCUGACCAUAGUCUAGAAGUCAGAGGCAUCUACAGACAUAGCACUGGCACCUCUGGGCCAGCAGAUCUCCUUCCUCAGCCAGCUGCAGUGUGGCUGCUGAGCACUGUCCCCAGAGCUCUGGCCUGGGAGCUGAGGUCAAAGCAAUGCUUUGGUAGCUGGUUUCAAGACAUAGUUAGGAUUUCAGGUCCAAAAUUUAGGGGUGCAGGGCAAUAAGGAAAGGUAGAAGUAAAGGUGAAGAAAAGGUCUGAUGGACAUGUCAGUCUAAUGAAAAAGGGACCCAAGGGGUCUUCAUCAGCUUUGCUGAAACAUUGAGGAUGAGACCCUUUGAGGAAUGAGCAGAAUCAUCCAAGUUUUAAAAAAAAAAAAAAAAAAGAAAACGGCAACAAAAACCAGGAUACUCACUCCUCCAGCUGAAGAUCUGAUCUGCAAUAUACUUCUCAUCUCUUUUCUUAAAGCUUAUUGAAUUAAGCUCACUUAGGUUAGAUCUAGAGGAAAGAGUACUAGAUAUAAUCUUCUUCCUGCUUAAUUUAACAGAACAAAUGUAGGAGUUUUCUCCUUUGUGAUGUCAUAGUCUCAGAGGUAUCCUACUGGGAGUCUGUUCUACAGCUUGAUGUUUGUUGGUUCACAAUACAGCAACAAAACUUUAAACAGAGGAAACUUUAUUCCAAAAGAAAACUCUGUAUCCCCCCGAGAACACCUGAGGGACUAAGUCAUAACACUAUAAGCAGCCUUGGUAUACAAAGGGAACAAAAGUCAGAAAUUAAAUGCACGGAAGAAUACAAAUGCAGCAGCACUGAUUCAUCUGAAUACAGAGAAAAAGGUCUUCAAGUGAGAUGGCUGCCAGAAGAUAAAAAGGAUUUGAUUAAAAUAUGUCACUAA
RNAcentral lists this long non-coding RNA (1316 nucleotides) under Numida meleagris (helmeted guineafowl). Its description in RNAcentral is "lncRNA (ENSNMEG00000009662.1)". The record is from RNAcentral. Lineage: Eukaryota; Metazoa; Chordata; Aves; Galliformes; Numididae.